This 253-nucleotide ribosomal RNA is filed under the name uncultured bacterium. RNAcentral describes it as "partial 16S ribosomal RNA". It matches the Rfam family "Bacterial small subunit ribosomal RNA", at positions 524 to 776 of the family's 1533-position model. The record is from RNAcentral.
UACGUAGGGUGCAAGCGUUGUCCGGAAUUAUUGGGCGUAAAGAGCUCGUAGGCGGUCUGUCGCGUCUGCUGUGAAAACCUAGGGCUUAACUCUGGGCGUGCAGUGGGUACGGGCAGGCUAGAGUGCGGUAGGGGAGACUGGAAUUCCUGGUGUAGCGGUGGAAUGCGCAGAUAUCAGGAGGAACACCGAUGGCGAAGGCAGGUCUCUGGGCCACUACUGACGCUGAGAAGCGAAAGCAUGGGGAGCGAACAGG